GACGAACGCUGGCGGCGUGCUUAACACAUGCAAGUCGAACGGAAAGGCCCUGCUUUUGUGGGGUGCUCGAGUGGCGAACGGGUGAGUAACACGUGAGUAACCUGCCCUUGACUUUGGGAUAACUUCAGGAAACUGGGGCUAAUACCGGAUAGGAGCUCCUGCUGCAUGGUGGGGGUUGGAAAGUUUCGGCGGUUGGGGAUGGACUCGCGGCUUAUCAGCUUGUUGGUGGGGUAGUGGCUUACCAAGGCUUUGACGGGUAGCCGGCCUGAGAGGGUGAACGGCCACAUUGGGACUGAGAUACGGCCCAGACUCCUACGGGAGGCAGCAGGGGGGAAUCUUGCACAAUGGGCGGAAGCCUGAUGCAGCAACGCCGCGUGCGGGAUGACGGCCUUCGGGUUGUAAACCGCUUUCGCCUGUGACGAAGCGUGAGUGACGGUAAUGGGUAAAGAAGCACCGGCUAACUACGUG
RNAcentral lists this ribosomal RNA (468 nucleotides) under uncultured bacterium. RNAcentral's name for it is "partial 16S ribosomal RNA". It matches the Rfam family "Bacterial small subunit ribosomal RNA", at positions 28 to 507 of the family's 1533-position model. The record is from RNAcentral.